UGGAUGAGGCUGUCUUUAUUACUGCCUGACUAGAAAAAGGAACCCAGUCGCCUGGCUGGAAGUUUGUCUCAUUCCUUCUCCGUUUGAAGCGAGUCACAGAGUAGGGAGACACUGGCUGUGUUUCAGUUCACUUUUUUGACUCUGAAAGACAUCUUGACAUAGUUUUAAUUUCUAAUUUUUUUAUAUAAAUGGAUGCAGAUGUUAGGUUUCUUAAUUACGAUCAAUUGUACUUUGUUUAAAGAAUGCACUAUAAUACUGUGAGAUGGGUAAUGUUACAUUAAACCAGCCUGAAACAACAUACAGCACAGGCUUGAUGAGGAGACUGAAACAAUCUGAUGAAACCUUAAAGAUCAACCUUAAACUGUAACUUACCCUUUUUUUCAACCUGGAACAACAAUCUUUGACAAUGGUCCAGUAUUAAGCAAGAUAUCUGCAGUUAGUAGCGGCA
This is a long non-coding RNA of Etheostoma spectabile (orangethroat darter), 448 nucleotides long. RefSeq lists it as uncharacterized. The record is from RefSeq and is a predicted model, not a curated record. The transcript has 2 exons. Lineage: Eukaryota; Metazoa; Chordata; Actinopteri; Perciformes; Percidae.